UACGUAGGGCGCAAGCGUUGUCCGGAUUUAUUGGGCGUAAAGAGCUCGUAGGCGGCUUGUUGCGUCGACUGUGAAAACCCGCGGCUUAACCGCGGGCUUGCAGUUGAUACGGGCAGGCUAGAGUUCGGUAGGGGAGACUGGAAUUCCUGGUGUAGCGGUGAAAUGCGCAGAUAUCAGGAGGAACACCGAUGGCGAAGGCAGGUCUCUGGGCAUUAACUGACGCUGAGGAGCGAAAGCGUGGGGAGCAAACAGG
This 253-nucleotide ribosomal RNA is filed under the name uncultured bacterium. Its description in RNAcentral is "partial 16S ribosomal RNA". It matches the Rfam family "Bacterial small subunit ribosomal RNA", at positions 524 to 776 of the family's 1533-position model. The record is from RNAcentral.